Molecule: non-coding RNA, 6092 nt
Organism: Leptonychotes weddellii (Weddell seal)
Lineage: Eukaryota; Metazoa; Chordata; Mammalia; Carnivora; Phocidae
Source: RefSeq, a predicted model, not a curated record
UAUGAGAAAACCGGGCUUCAAUCCAUGCAGGUCAUUUGCCCAUAGCUGCUCAACUGGUGGGCAGCAGAGCUGGGCUAGGACUCCCCCUGAAGCCUGCUUCAUGCUCCGUGUACUACAGAGCAUUGUGGAACGUCAGGGACCAGGCAGAUGUAGGACAGUCCCUAUCAACCCAGCUCGGAAGGCACGGCUUUGCCCGCAGAGGGCGCUCAAGACAGCCGCUCUCAGCUGCUGUGGGUCAGUGGGAUUGCGGAUACUGCUGCCAAGCACAGUUGGGGCCCGGGCUUCACAUCUGCUGCUCGCCUUUGCCAAACAGCUGUGUUCCGAGCAAGCAGCAUGAUGACACUCACCUGCAGGAAAUGUGGGUCGUGGCGUUGGUCUGCAGGCUGGGGGACAAAGAGCUGACAGUUCCACUCCAACAGGUGGGCCAGCCAAUCGAGAACCGGCUAGAGCAACGCAAAAAGAAUGUCUGUUGCUCUUAGUAAUGCGUGAGGGUGACCCAGCUGUUGGAUAAGAGCCUGGGCAGGAUGCUGUUGCAGUCUGGCUGAGAACCCACAGUCCCCAGGCCCGGGACUUACAACAUGGAGGAUCCUGACGGGAGUGUUCCCCAGAAGCCCUGGAGCGGGGCUGGAGAGAGACGGAACCACAGAGGGCAGAAAUGGCAGACACACACAAGGGCGCCAGUUGAACACACAAGUCACUGCUCCAAGGUGUAUUUUUGCUGCAUUCUCUCUGUCUCGUCAGGAGCAGAGAGGAGUACUUUCUUUGCUCUCAGGAAGCAAUAGCUCCAAAACUGAAAAAUGAAAGAGCUUUAUUUCAUACACAAUUGUACAUUUUUAAUUUUUGUAUUUAAGUGUAUUUAAUUUUAUGGUUUGAAUUUUGUUUUGUGGCAAGUGGAUACUGCUUUUCCGUCUCUGAAAGUAACAGUGUUCCCUUCAAAGCAUAUUGAUUUAAAUAAAAAAGGGGUCACUUACAAUGUUAUUAAUAAUAUAGUUCGAGCAUGGAAUUGGCAGAAGUCUUUAAAGUGUAUGCAGUCAGUUGAGAUGUGGGCAGUACUAUUAUUCAGGGCCUGGCACGGAAAGGCCUGGGGUACUGUCUCCCUUACCAAUUGAGUGAGUCAGCAGCUCCCAAACCUGUCUGUAUAUUGGAAUCACCUGGAAGGCUGGGGCGGGGGGUGGGCAGGUAGGUCUUCAAAACUACUGUCGCCUGUCUCCCUUCCCAGAGAUUCUGGUUUGAUAGGUCUGGGGUAUGUCCUGGGCUUUGGAGGUUGUCAGCGAUCCCCAAGUGGUCCUCAUGUCAGGCUCCUUGGGACCUCCUGCCACAGCACAUUCUUUGAUGUCCCCAAGACAUUCUCCUUGUCUACAGUAUGGGCAUGUUGAGUGUCUGCUCUACAGGAUCUGCUCUGGCCUUUGUGUUCUUAAAAAUAUAGGCAAAUGCCUUCAAGUGAAUGGUUUAACAUUUUGUCUCUGAUAGGGAUUGCUGGGCAGGAUGAGUCAUCUAGGUUCUAGAUGGAGAAGAUGUCAGUGCAGGUCUAGUCCGGGGCUGUUGGUGCAAAAGGAAGAAAGUGGAACAGAAGAUGGAGAGGAGGGGGUGCCUUACAGAAACUCUCCCUACCCCCAAGCCAGCUUCACGGAUCAUUCAUAUUUUCAGAUAGAAAUAGUAUGGCAUGGGGCAGAGCUAAGAUCUGGAUCUAGGAGCUAUGGGCUAGACAUAGACAAGCCCCUGUACCUCUUGGUGCCACAGUUUCCCCAUUUGGAAGAUGGGGGGGUGGACUAAUUGGUCAGUAAGGUCCCUUCCAUUCUGUAUGGGGUAAUCUAAAGCUCCUUUCUCUCACCCACAAGUCCUUUCUUGGCUUUUUGCCAAUGGAAUCCCCCAAGGGCCAGUAGAUGGCAGUAGAGACUUUUGAAUUGGGAUUUUAGCGCUUCUGGCCCACCUGAUUAGGCCUCCUACCCUGGCAAUGCUGGGAAUGCUGCCCCAGGACAGUUCUCUGCUGCUGAGCUCAACAGCUGCUGUCUGAAUGUACUCAUUCAUGAGCCACAAAGGGGCAAAAUUUAAAGGAAUAGUAUUUCUUUGGAGUUCCUAGACCAACGAGAGCGCGGCACAGUAGGACCAACCUGGUGCUCAGAGCCCAGUUACAUCAGACCUCGCUUGCGUCUGAUAUUGGGUCCCUCUUCCUACAGUGAUGCAUGAGUAAGGGAGCGUGGACGAGCACAAUUGGGCUUUUGUGGUAAGAGAGAAACUUGGGCCAUUUUUAAGGCAGAACCAAUUUCUGGGGGGGACUUAAAUGUGUACAUCACUGUAUAGUUUUAAAGGGCAUUCAUAUAUGUGAACUCAUCUUCGAAGCAACCCUUUGAAGCCGGUAGAAACAAUUUUCAGCUUUGUCAGGUGAGGGAGCUGAAUCUCAGGGUAAAUGGGAAAAGGAUUUGUUCAAAGGCAUCUUGCUCUAAGGAGGUGAUUAGAAACUCGAACUCAAGUCAUUUGACUCCUAAGCCCAGUCUUCUUUCUGCUGAUGGAGGCGCGUGGGCUAACGUGUUUCACGUUUGGAUUCCUGGAGGAACUCAGGGGACAUACAUUUGAUAAAUCUUCAUCAUUCCCUUACUGUGUGUCAAGCACUGAACUGUGUUCUGGCAACGCAGAGAUGAAAGGUAAGUAACCACCCCUACCUAUACAUACCGCUUUGUACGUUCUAGGGGCUAUUCUGAUACUUUAAUCAUCGCCCAAAUAAUCGCCCAAAAUAAAGAAAGAAAGAAAUAGCAAUAAUUGUCAAUUUCAUUCUUCAUAACAGCCCUUUGAGGUAGGUAUUGCUUUAACCCAAUUUAGAGGUGAAGAACCUGAGACACAGAGAAAUCAUGAAACUUACUCCGGAUCACAGGGCAAGCAGAGAGGCGGGGAAGCAGAGGCAGAGUGUUCUCGCUGUCAGUCUUUUCAAAAACACCCUCAUCGAGAUAUAAUUCACAUACUCUGCAAUUCGCCCAUUUAAGGUGAACAGUUGAGUGGUUUUUGGUAUAUUUGGCGGAGAUGAGAAAACAUCACCACAGUCCAUUUUAGACCAUUUUUUUAUUACCCUAAUAGGAAGCCCUGUUUCCAUUAGCAGUUGGGCAGUGGUGUUCUCAACGACUAGAUGCUAUAUUCCAUCUCGGUGGAGGAAGCAUGUCAUUGUCUUCUGUCUUCCAGGAGCUGUGCAGGCACUUCGAUAGAUGAGUACAUUGCAAUGCAAUCAACAUGACAGUAGUCGAGGCCCAAGGAACACACGGCCUACAGCGUAAUGCAGAGCUUCAAAGCGAGGACUUCUACCUAGAGAGGGAGAGAGAAUGGUUUUCUGUAUGGGGCCUGAGUUUUCUGUUUGUGACAGAGCUGUGGGUUCAUACUCCUGGAAAUUAAAAUGCGAUUUGUAGUGGGGACACUUAACCUUGAAUGCCAGGGGUUAGUGACCGUGAUGGCAUCCGAUUAGCUAGAGACCCUUCAGUUCUUGUGGGAAUGUGCUGGGCGGGCAGGAGGACGGCGUGCAGUCUGGGGUGAACAGAGGUAGGUUAAGAGCCCUGAGCUCCUGGUAUGUGGGCUGUUCCCGGGGAAACUCGGUUGGCUUCCCUGUUAUCCCCGGGGUCAACCUGGUGUGCUAAACUUUUCCAGCGGUGAAGCCGAUCUAGGAUAGGCCUUAUCUUGGUAGUUGCAGAAACUUUCAAGGAGCAGCUGGAGGACCGAGGAACCCACAGCUGGGUUUCACUUGCUCUGUCUACAGUGCAGCCUCAGCGUCUCAGUGUUUCCGGUGCUUACGAAGAUCCCUACCAGCUGGCUCCAAACACAGCUCCUGGGAGAGCUGUUUCUGGGAGGACUCUGGAGACUGCGUUUCAGCUUCAGGAACGGGGCCUGGCAGCUGUUAGCCAGCAGAAGAAAUAGCCUUUAUGCAUAGAUUUGUGCCCCCUUGGUUGCAUGUCUCCCUAAGAAGGCAACAGAAGAGGAGGACCGAUGAGGACAAAGUUACGAGAUCAAGCAAAAACAGUGAGAUUUGGAACCCCUCUUCUGCGCAAACCUUUUUGCUCUUUCCCUGACUUUCUACCUCAACAGAGGGCUCCGGGUGAGAGUGUGUUAAUAUAGACAGAGAUGAGAAAUUAGAUCAAGAGUCUCAUUUUGCCAUUUCCCACACCCUUGGGCAAAUUAUUGAUUCUAGUUUUCCCGUGAUUUAUAAAGUGAUAAUCUCUUGUAGCCAUAUAGAAUUGUAGAUGUCACAAAAUAGCUCUCACAUUUAUUAACUAAUAUGAGCCUCUCAAUACUGUAAGGGCUAGGGGGAUAUAAUUAUCUCUAUUUUACAGAUGAGAAAAUCCCCACGAUCCAGAGAAUUCAAGCCAUUUGUCUGAGGUCACAAGGCUAGUAAAUAGAGAUGAAAUAAAAAUUCAGCUUUUUGUUUCUUAGUUCAGUAAAUUUUAAGAGUCUCUUAGGCAUUUGAAUCUAACUCAUUGACGUUGACGUUGAGUAACCAGUGAUAACCCUACCAAGGAAAGAUUUUCUUAAAAACAGAAGAUAAAGGAACGGCAUAAAGAUGAUGGUUGACUGAAAAAGGCUCUGAGCAUCUCGAUGGAGGAGAUAGUAUCCAUUCAGAAACUAGAAGCAAUCCAGAAAUAAUGUGCUGAUUUGGGGAACGGAAUGCUGAAAAAGACCCAACUCUUACCUUUAAGAGGCUCAGAGACGAGCGGGGGCAUCCGAGUGAAAAUGACAGCAAAGGUGCAUGCACAGAGAGAAAAGGCUGCGUGAGGACACAGCAAGAAGAUGGCCAUUUGCAAGCCAAAGAGAGAGGCCUGGAAGAAAUCAACCUUGCUGACAUCUUGAUAUUGGCCUUCCAGUUUCCAGAACGAUGAAGAAAAGGAAGAAACUGAGGCACAGGGAGGUGCGUGUGCUCAAUCCACACAGCUCGAAAGUCCUGGAGCCAGCAUUUGACUAUGGGCAGCCUGACUCCAGAGUGCAGGCUCUUCUUCACCACUGUGGUCUUCUCCAUCCAAUUAGUUACUACCUUAAGUUGACAGAUGUGGAAACUGAGGCUCAGAGGUGAAAUUAUUAGACCAAGCCACACAGCUAGUAAAUGCCAGAGCCAAAACCUGAUCCCAAGUCUCUCUGGCUCCAAAAGUGUUCCCACUUUUUAUGGGGAAGAGCUCCUCCCUGCCUGUGGUUGCACACGUGGACUGUGUAUGUAACCUGUAGGAGCCGGCUGCUACAGCCCUGUGGGCCGUGAUUUGCUAGUCCCCCACCUACCAGUGACCUGAACAGAGUUGAAGUAACUUGCCACCACCACAUCCCAGGCCCCUCUCACGGUCGGCCUCUGGCCUGAAAAACUCUUCCCCAGUCCUCCUCACUAAAUUCUUCUCAUCUCUCAGAUCUCAGAUCAAGUGCCCCUUUCUGGGGGUGGCUUCUCUGGCCCUCCAAACAAAUCCAGUAUCCCCUUUGGGAGAUCUGUAGAGCAUCCCUUAGUUUUCUUUCUCACUUUUAAAUUAUCUACUUGUGUGAUUAUUUUAUAAGUACCUGCCUUCCCCUAGAUUGUCCACACUAUGAGGCCAGAGCCCACAGCAGAGUGAUACAGUAACACCUCCCGUGUUUAAUUCAGUUUUUAGCCUAUAGCUAAAAAUGGUAGUUAUUAUUCUAUAACACAGAUAUAUCUGUUUCUCUGUGUAUGUUUACAUAUAUACAUAUGUGUAUAUGUAAAUACACACAUAUAUAAAUACACACAUAUUUAAACGAUACUUAAAUGUCAUUAGGUCCAUCCCCUUCCUCCUCCUAAUGCAUCAAUCACAGAAAGGUCAAUUAGCCAUGGGAUUGUUGCAGCCCCCUGAUUGCUUGCUCUUGCAGACAUUGCUAAUCAAUCACCAUAUUCUCUUCUUCUGAGUGUCUGGGGAGCCUCAAAUCCCCUCUCAAGGCAUUGCUCCAGGCAGCCACUGUUGAUUAAUUGGGCUUGGCCCCAAAAAUGAAACUUGCCAUCCCAGAGGGGGAAACUAUUCUCAUGUAUUCCAUAUAGUUGAUUAAUCCUAGUGUUCUGCAAGAAUUAAAAAAAACAUAGGGAUGCCUGUGUGGCUCAGUCAUUAAGCGUCUGCCUUCGGCUCAGGUCAUGG